UCUGGAAGUUCUGCAGAUGAUGA
This 23-nucleotide microRNA is filed under the name Gallus gallus (chicken). RNAcentral describes it as "gga-miR-6584-5p". Lineage: Eukaryota; Metazoa; Chordata; Aves; Galliformes; Phasianidae. The record is from miRBase by way of RNAcentral.